RNAcentral lists this unclassified non-coding RNA (257 nucleotides) under plant metagenome. RNAcentral describes it as "partial contains small subunit ribosomal RNA, internal transcribed spacer 1, and 5.8S ribosomal RNA". The stretch from base 209 to 257 matches the Rfam family "5.8S ribosomal RNA", at positions 1 to 49 of the family's 154-position model. The record is from RNAcentral.
UCUCCGUUGGUGAACCAGCGGAGGGAUCAUUACCGAGUUUACAACUCCCAAACCCCAUGUGAACCUUACCAAACGUUGCUUCGGCGGGAUGCCCCGGGCGCGGGCCGCAAGGCCUCAGCCCCGGAACCAGGCGCCCGCCGGAGGCCCAAACCAAACUCUUGUUUUUGUAGAAUCUUCUGAGCGGCCUUUUAGGCAAAAAAUGAAUCAAAACUUUCAACAACGGAUCUCUUGGUUCUGGCAUCGAUGAAGAACGCAGU